UUUUUUUUUUGGUGAGGAAGGUUGGCUCUAAGCUAGCAUUUGUUGCCAGUCUUCCUCUUUUUUUUUUCUCCCCAAAGCGCCAGUACAUAGUUGUAUAUCCUAGUUGUAAGUCUUCUGGUUCUUCUGUGUGGGAUGCCACCACAGCAUGGUUUGAUGAGCAGUGUGUAGGUCCAUGCCCAGGAUCCGAACCAGGGAAGUCUGGGCUGCCAAAGUGGAGCUCAGGAACUUAACCACUACACCACCGGGCCAGCCCCAAGACUUUCUAAUUAAUGUCUGUGGCUCCUGCUAGACUCAGAUGAACACAUAUGCAAUACAAAAAACAGGCUGCAGCAUCAGCUGUGUGAUUAGGAUUUGGAAACAAAAAUCCCACCCUGGCAAGGAGAUUUUAAUGGAAAGGCAAGGGAAGUUGUUAAUGGAAGAUUUUUGAUAUAAUAAACAAAAUUGGUAGAGAUCAUCUAAAUGUUCAGUAUAAAAGGUUUGAGUCAUACUUGGAUAAUUUUCUAAACUUUUGCAGGCAUAAAUUUGGAAUUUACUCUAAAAGAUAAUUAGGAAGAGAUAAAUGGUGCAAGUAGGCUCAAAAAGAGCUCCAUGUUAAUAAGGAAAAGUUUAGUUUUAAUGUGUUCCACUUUUUCUGUUUCCUAGCUCCCCAGAUUCCUCUAUGUCUAACCACUUGUCUUGUAAAUUUGAGCCUUAGCCCCAUGAGGAGCUGUGGAAAAAAAAUCAGGUGACUCAGUACAACCUAUACUUUUCAUUGUCAGUACAACUCAAGCAACUUUUUCCAUAUUGGUUGGUGAUAAAUUCAUUGUCAUUUCAGUACUAGUACAACAUCAUGCUGAAGGCAUUCCUGUGAAAAGUUUUAUCUUGUGAACAUUAUGCCAUUGUAACCAGGACAGCUCCUUGAAGGGCAUUAAUUACAACUUUGGGAUUUAUCCUCCUAUGGCUCUAGUCAAGGAAGUCACUUUAUUCUUUUUGUUUUCAUAAAGGCCCUAUUUGCUCAGGGGUCCAUCCCCUGAUACCUUAAAUGCCCUAAGGAGUUCCCAAGUUCUGCUAAAAGCAAAUCUAUUAUUGGACAAACCUAGGCUCUCUCUCCCAUAACAAUGAUAAUCAUAGCUAUUUUCAGACUCUGCUUUCCAUAGUUAGAUUUCAUACAUUAGCAAAGAUGGUAUAGGAGGACUAUUACGUUAAUGUUCUCAGGUCACAUGGCAACCAGAGAGCCCUGUAUCAGUUUAGACAUGAUGAGGACAUAGACCAGGAAGAGAAUGACAAGGAACGUGGAUAAACACAGGAAGGUCGGUACUGAAAGAAGUUGAUGGAGCACCACUUAAGAACCAGGUUUACUAUAAAAGAGCGAAUAUGACAAGAAUUAGAAAAAUGUCCAUUGGUAACCAUGGGGUUGAGAAGAGAGUGCUAAGCCAUCCGUUUCCCUGAUAAUGUUUGACAUAAAGGAAGAGAGAAGACAUUUUAUUCCACAGUCCUUAAAAGCUACCUUUGCUAGAGAGUUCAUUUCCCUCUUUUCCACUAAGAAGAAAAUUAAACCAUAAAGCUCCAAACUUUUGUUUUCAUUAAUUCUGUAUUUUUGGGGUUCCUUUUCCUCUAUCUCUUUUUACUUUUAGAAGAAUGCUGAAAGACAGGUUAUACAACAGUUAAAGAAAUAUCACACAAUUGCCACUUUCUUUUAAUUAAUGCAGUAAGGAAUUCAGGCAGCUUUGUAAGGGAAGAAAAUUAUGUCUGCGUCAGAACACGUACCCACUGCUUUUGAGUUCAAAUAUCUUAUGGUGUAUUACCUCUUAUUCUAGGGAAAUUUGAAAAUAUCCUGUGGAAUUUUCCAUCAUGCCUCAAAAGGUUAAUGAUCCUUUACAUUCCAAAAAUACUCAAUGGUGUGUAGAUAUCUUUGUGCCUGUCUGAAUCACCCUGAGCCACAUUCAAUGUUCCUAGCUCUCCAGCGUAACUCAACCAAUCAGAUAACUCUUGUAUCUUUUUUUUUUUUUUUUUGAGGAAUAUUAACCCUGAGCUAACAUCUGCCGUCAAUUCUCCUCUUUUUUCUGGCCUUGACGUGCCUAUCUUUCUCUGCUUUAUAUGUGAAACUCCUGCCACAGCACGCCUUGACAACUGGUGCAUAAGUCCACAUCGGGGAUCUGAACCGGACUGACAAGUGAUGCAGGUUCAAGCAAUGCAGGUCCACACCGGGGAUCUGAACCAGCGAACCCUGGGUCUCCAAAGCAGAAUGUGCGAACUUAACCACUGUGCUACUGGGCUGGCCCCCCUUGUAUCUUUUUUAAUAGUCAAGAUUACAGUAUUUGAGCCAGUAAAAGUCCCUCUAAAGUCUGCUGGUAGAUCUGUUUUGGUUGAAUUUGUCUUUUGCCAUAUUCUAUCAGAGAGUGUGGGAGGAGCAGAAGUGGCAAGCCUAUUUAGAAAUAUUUAAAUGGUGAGUUACUAUGUCUUAUAGCAGUAACUAUAUAGUAAACAUAUUUAUCUUUUCUAUGAAAGACUGAUAAUGCAC
Equus caballus (horse) is the source of this 2500-nucleotide long non-coding RNA. NCBI's taxonomy places the organism in Eukaryota, Metazoa, Chordata, Mammalia, Perissodactyla, Equidae. The record is from Ensembl.